UGGGGAAUAUUGCACAAUGGGCGAAAGCCUGAUGCAGCGACGCCGCGUGAGGGAUGACGGCCUUCGGGUUGUAAACCUCUUUCAGCAGGGACGAAGCGCAAGUGACGGUACCUGCAGAAGAAGCACCGGCCAACUACGUGCCAGCAGCCGCGGUAAUACGUAGGGUGCAAGCGUUGUCCGGAAUUACUGGGCGUAAAGAGUUCGUAGGCGGUUUGUCGCGUCGUUUGUAAAAACCAGCAGCUCAACUGUUUGCUUGCAGGCGAUACGGGCAGACUUGUGUACUGCAGGGGAGUCUGGAAUUCCUGGUGUAGCGGUGAAAUGCGCAGAUAUCAGGAGGAACACCGGUGGCGAAGGCGGGUCUCUGGGCAGUAACUGACGCUGAGGAACGAAAGCGUGGGUAGCGAACAGG
This 409-nucleotide ribosomal RNA is filed under the name bacterium. RNAcentral's name for it is "partial 16S ribosomal RNA". It matches the Rfam family "Bacterial small subunit ribosomal RNA", at positions 355 to 776 of the family's 1533-position model. The record is from RNAcentral.